CGAAAGCCUGACGGAGCAACGCCGCGUGAGGGAGGAAGGCCUUAGGGUUGUAAACCUCUUUUCUCUGGGAAGAAGAACUGACGGUACCAGAGGAAUAAGCCUCGGCUAACUCCGUGCCAGCAGCCGCGGUAAGACGGAGGAGGCAAGCGUUAUCCGGAAUUAUUGGGCGUAAAGCGUCCGCAGGCGGUUUUUUAAGUCUGUUGUCAAAGCCCACAGCUCAACUGUGGAUCGGCAAUGGAAACUGGGAGACUUGAGUGUGGUAGGGGUAGAGGGAAUUCCCGGUGUUAGCGGUGAAAUGCGUAGAUAUCGGGAAGAACACCAGUGGCGAAGGCGCUCUACUGGGCCACAACUGACGCUGAGGGACGAAAGCUAGGGGAGCG
Molecule: ribosomal RNA, 380 nt
Filed under: Leptolyngbya sp. CCMEE 6035
Lineage: Bacteria; Bacillati; Cyanobacteriota; Cyanophyceae; Leptolyngbyales; Leptolyngbyaceae
Description: bacterial SSU rRNA
Rfam family: Bacterial small subunit ribosomal RNA
Source: RNAcentral